GACGAACGCUGGCGGCGUGCUUAACACAUGCAAGUCGAACGGAAAGGCCCUGCUUUUGUGGGGUGCUCGAGUGGCGAACGGGUGAGUAACACGUGAGUAACCUGCCCUUGACUUUGGGAUAACUUCAGGAAACUGGGGCUAAUACCGGAUAGGAGCUCCUGCUGCAUGGUGGGGGUUGGAAAGUUUCGGCGGUUGGGGAUGGACUCGCGGCUUAUCAGCUUGUUGGUGGGGUAGUGGCUUACCAAGGCUUUGACGGGUAGCCGGCCUGAGAGGGUGACCGGCGACAUUGGGACUGAGAUACGGCCCAGACUCCGACGGGAGGCAGAAGUGGGGAAUAUUGCACAAUGGGCGGAAGCCUGAUGCAGCAACGCCGCGUGGGGGAUGACGGCCUUCGGGUUGUAAACCUCUUUUAGUAGGGAAGAAGCGCAAGUGACGGUACCUGCAGAAAAAGCACCGGCUAACUACGUG
Molecule: ribosomal RNA, 468 nt
Filed under: uncultured bacterium
Lineage: Bacteria
Description: partial 16S ribosomal RNA
Rfam family: Bacterial small subunit ribosomal RNA
Source: RNAcentral